This 221-nucleotide long non-coding RNA is filed under the name Homo sapiens (human). Its description in RNAcentral is "non-protein coding lnc-KLF6-5:4". Lineage: Eukaryota; Metazoa; Chordata; Mammalia; Primates; Hominidae. The record is from RNAcentral.
UGUAGUGGGGGCGUGGAUGGAGUGUCAGAGGCUCCUGCUGGUCUUUAGGGUGUCUGGCCUCCAGGAAUCCUAGAGUAAAUUGGGAACUACAGCACUCGAUGUUAGAGUUGUCGUGAAGAUUAAAGAAGGUGACGACUGGACAACUCCCAGCCCAAUACCUGAAACUGUACCAGCACCCAGUGAGCACUGCUAUUCCUGUGACUGCUGCACAUUUGCCUUAU